Molecule: non-coding RNA, 3045 nt
Organism: Paramormyrops kingsleyae
Lineage: Eukaryota; Metazoa; Chordata; Actinopteri; Osteoglossiformes; Mormyridae
Source: RefSeq, a predicted model, not a curated record
UUUCUUAUGUCUACAUUUAGAGCCCUCAGAAAAUUAGUCAACAGUCAACAGAAUGAAUGGGAUGUGUAUCUGGGUGCUAUACUGUUUUCUUUGAGGUCUAAGGUCCACACCACAACCAAAUACACACCAUUUCUUUUAAUGUAUGGGAGAGAAGCAACUUAUCCUUCAGAAGUUCCUGUUGAAGUACCUGUAAGUGUUUAAAGAAUUCUGUCUAUCCAACUACUGUGAUUAUACAUAAAUGUCAUCUUAAUUGGAAAGAGGAUGUAUCGAUACUGCCAUGGCUGCAGAUUUAAUCUUUUCUGCUUAAUUUCUAAAUGCAAGACACAUUUUACAGAUAAAUUAAGUGACUAAUCAGCCUUUGUUCUUUACAUUUGUAUCUUAAUUUAAGGUUACCAAUAGUGAGGAGAACUUUCAGUAUGAUAAUGUGUUCACCUGUACAAGUGUAUCAAGUGUAAAAAGUGAUCAUAAAAAGUGUUAAUAAUACAAAAAUUAUAGGUAUCUAUCUCUUUUGUGGCAUUUUGGGCUCAAAGCUGUGUAAUAGUAUAAUUAGUUUUAAACAUUAGUUAUGUAAACAUUAGAAAAUAAAUGAAAUUACUUUUUCGGUUCAUGUUGCACAUGCGUUAUUUGCCUUUGCAAUUUUAAUUGUUAAUUAAAAAUUGUAAAUUUUAGCUAUCCUCCAUCAUUCUCCCUGAGGAGUCAAGUUACAGUGACUUUGUAUAUUCUACAAGAGACGCACAGGAUUUAGUUAAAAAAACUGUAGAAGAAAAUAUAGCAAAGUCCCAAGAAAUGCAAAAGGAAGCCUAUGCUAGACGAGUACAGAAGAAGUACAAAAACAUUGUAUACAAUGUUGGAGAUGAAGUUCUUCUCCUGAACAUGAGGAAACGUGGAAGGAAGGGAGGAAGACUUGAUCCAGAUUUUUCAGGUCCCUACACCAUUCAGGACAUCUCUGGUAAAUGUGUUAGAUUAAAAAACACUGAGGGAGCUACUUUAAAAAAUCAGUACAGCAUUGACCAUAUUAAGCCGUACAGAAGGACCCACUCUGUAAAUGUCAGUGACAAUGAAAAAUGUCCAACUCGCAGUCAGCCAGUGAACAGCCUUACAAACCUCAAGAUGCCCCCAUGCCAUCCUACCACUAGCCCUCAGUAUCAGCAAAUUCCAGAAGAUACCAGACCCUCUGUUAUUCAUUACGCACCAAAAACAGCUGACAAAAGUUGUGCCUCCCACCAAGAGGUAAAUUCAGUACCAGCACCAGAAAAGCUUGAACCAGAAUCUCCCUCCUUGCAACAAAGCACAGAAGAUGAAGGUGGCAUAGCUGAAAAUUUCAUUUUGACCAGUUGGUCAUUUGUUGCCAGUUUGCCGUUCCAACUUGGUUCACUGUUGCUUGCAUGUUUGCUGCUAAUACUUCAUUGUAUUGUCUUAUCUUGGCUCUUUUGACCUGUUGGUCAGUUUAGCUAUCUGAUUUACAGAGGGUGGACAUGUGCCGGCUUACUAAAAAGGAAAGUUCUGGUCUAAGGAGAACAGAGAUCUAAAUCUCUGGGCACCUGGAUAUAUGCUGUCUUCAACUCAUAUUGAAUGUAAUGCAAUAGACAGUCAGCUUGUGGAAGUCCGCAAAUGGAACAGUCUGUCAGUAAACUUUUCUCUUUUGUCCACCCCCUGUACCUUUCCUAUUUCUCUGCGUGAAACCACAUGUUCAUUGUGUUGUCUCUUGUCCAGUUGUAGCCCGUUGGCCUUAACCCAGGUUUUCAACUAAAAUUCUCAUGCCCAAACUAACAUCAUAUUUUUCUUUUAGUAAAGAGGCUAUGGGCUGCUAAGGAUACUGGGCGCUUGGAGUCAGUUGUCGGACCAUACAAGCUGUAUGAUUCUUCUUUUCGAACACUGCAGGGGUCUGGGUGGCUUUCUGAUGAGGUAAGAGAAGUUAUCAUUAUUGUGAUUGAUUCCCACUUUGAAGUGCUGCUCCUUCUACAGUUUUUGCCGUAGAGACACCAUUAAUGGCUUAAAAUGUGUGGGUAGAUGGGGGAGUUUAGAUAGCAAAACCACAAGCAUCUUCUUCCCCUCAGAUUUCUCCCAUGGACUUCAAUAGGAAAGAGUGCCAUCAACCACAACACAGAUCCCCUCUGUGACAUCAUAAUGUCCAGUUCCACUAUAUGCAGAAAUAACCUUUAUCAGCAUUCCUUUCUAAUUUUUGCACACAGCAAUCAAGCAGUUUCUUCAGAAAUUGCUGUUGUUAGUGUAUAAACUGUCUUUUUUCCAAACAGGUAAUUGAUGCAUGCCUGCACCGUCUCAUUGAGAAACAAAAGGCAAUUAAGAAAUAUGUUUACCCAGUUAUUUUGAAAUAUACAAAUAUUUAAUUUUUUAUAUGUUCUAUAACAUUUUUGUAUACUUUUACAGAACACUGUACACCUGCUGUGUUCAGUUGUUGCAACCUCGUUGUUCUCUGGGCAGUUUAGAUGCGUCAGCAAGAUGAAGUUCCCAGUUGAAGACAUUUGGCUGUGCCCUGUGAACUUUGGUACACACUGGAUUCUUGUGAUUGUCAACAUCUUAGCGAGGACAAUACUGCUCAUAGACCCCAUGGGGAAUGAAGGUUUUUAUGAAAGGAAAAUUCUGCGCAACUGGAGGAAUUUUCUGAGGAUGAGAGGGCACGAAGACGCCAAAACGGAGUGGCAGUUACAGACUCUGCAGCACAAUAAGCAACAGGAUUCCAACAGUUGCGGAGUUUUACUGUUAAAAUUCGCAGAACACUACCUUGCAUUUGGAGAGGUCAGUGAGGUGCUCACCACUAUGGAAGCAGUUGCACUGGAGCGAAUGCAGAUAGCUUGCAGAUAGCUUGCACCCUACUUGAACAUCGAGGGAAUGCUGAGGACCACUGCAUUGUUUGUUCUACGUUAGAUGCUGAAGCUGACCGCAGCAUGAUUGAAAUGGUGCAGUGUGAUUCUUGCCACAGAUGGGCACAUUUUGAAUGUGCAAAAUAUAAGUAGAGCCACCUAGAAUACAAAUGCAAAAAAUGUGAGGAAAGCAUGUAACAGGUUCUUAUAAAUAAAAUUUCCC